Molecule: transfer RNA, 62 nt
Filed under: Magicicada septendecula (seventeen-year cicada)
Lineage: Eukaryota; Metazoa; Arthropoda; Insecta; Hemiptera; Cicadidae
Also listed under: 1 other name
Description: tRNA-Arg
Source: RNAcentral
AGCAAUGAAGUAAUGAAUACACUUAGUUUCGACCUAAAAAAAGAAUCUUUAUUCCUUUGUUU